RNAcentral lists this long non-coding RNA (3396 nucleotides) under Homo sapiens (human). RNAcentral's name for it is "non-protein coding lnc-ZFP90-3:4". The record is from RNAcentral. Lineage: Eukaryota; Metazoa; Chordata; Mammalia; Primates; Hominidae.
AGCAAAGACGACCAGCCGAGGAUGGCUGGCGGAGGCGUGGGGCAGGCCGCAGGACCCUCGAAGGAUCGUGUGAGACCCCGGGCAGCCUCUUGGGAGGCCAUUUCGAGGAGAAAACCUUGAUUUCUGCCUCAGGACCCUGGGCCUCAGUUUUCCUAUCUGAGAAGAAGGGCGAAGAGCUGUGCCCCCGACCACACCCGUCGGUGAUGGGGCAAACCGAGGGCAAGCAGAGGAGCGCUUCACUUUUGGUCAUCCCUUGGGCCACCAGGGCCUUCCCGUCUCCGUCUUCCCAUCGCAGGUCCUGGCCUCCUUCACACCACUCCAGGAUACCGCAGCAUCUCCCCCAGCGCAGCAGACGGAGGGCGCUUCACAUGCCCCCGGACCUAAGCCCACUCUCCCCUUCAAGAUCUGGACUCCACUUUUUUGCAACACUCUUAACUUCUUUGGAAGCUGGGAAGCCUCCUACUCCCUUGGGCCUCUCCACCCUGCCCUCAGCUAACUCGUCGGCAAGCCCCAGCCUAGACAUUGCCUGUUUUGUGAAGACAUCUAGAUGCUGGGCUGUCUGUUGAGUGCCCCACCCUGUGUUUGAGCAGCACCCUCUACUUCCCCUGUUCUACUUGCAUGUUUAUGUGCUCGUCUUCCUCAUUAUAAGAUCCACAGGGGAGGGGCCAUGUCUAUAUUAUUCAUACUUACAGUCCAGUGUCUAGUAUCUGGCACGUAGUAGGCACUCACUAGCUAUUGAGAUAUAAAUAUAGAUAUUUGUUGAAUUGAAAAUGAAUUGGGCCGGGCGUGGUGGCUCACGCCUGUAAUCCCAGAACUUUGGGAGGCCGAGGCAGGUGGAUCACUAGGUCAGGAGUUCGAGACAAGUCUGACCAAAAUGGUGAAACCCAGUCUCUACUAAAAAUACAAAAAUUAGCUGGGCGUGGUGGCACGUGCCUGUAAUCCCAGCUAUUCAGGAGGCUGAGGCGGGAGAAUCGCUUGAACCCCGGGAGGUGGAGGUUGCAGUGAGUCGAGAUUGCACCACUACACUCCAGCCUGGACAACAGAGUGAGACCCUGUCUCAAAAAAAAAAAAAAAAAAAGAGAAAAAGAAUAAAAUUAAAAAAAAGAAAAUAAAGGAACCUCAUUCACAUACACCUCCAAAACUCUGAUUUCCUAAAGUUGGGCAUUUCUCAUUGCUGGAGGUGUUCAGUUAGAGGCAUGCCGCCCCCUUGAAGAAAUGUUUAUUUCAUUUGUACAGUGGGUUGGGAUUUUACCUGAAUGCUUUGAGUACCCUUUUAAUCCUAUGAUGCUAGAGAUUGAUAGACCCAUGCCUAUUAUUCCUGUCAGUUCUCCCUGAAAUGUCAUCAGUUCUUCAUGUUCCGCUAUUUCUAGCUGUUGGCCCUACUCGUUUCUGUGCCUAAAUGCCCUACCUCCCACUCCUUUUCUGAGAAAGAUCUUCUGCCCUGUCAGUUAUGAAGUAAAGAUGUCCUAAGAUUCCUGCUCUUUCUUUUUUCUUUCUUUCUUUCUCUCUCUUUUUUUUUUUUUUCGACGGAGUUUCGCUCUUGUUGCCUGGAGUGCAAUGGCUGGAGUGCAAUGGCGCGAUCUCAGCUCACUGCAGCCUCUGCCACCUAGGCCCACCUUGGUCUCCCCAAGUGCUGGCAUUACAGGUGUGAGCCACUGUGCCCGGCCUCCUGCUCUUCUUUCAACCCUCUGCUCAGCAUCUUAGGCCUCAUUGGUGAUGUCCCACCUUGCUAGGUAGCAUCUUUCCUGAAUAUUUCUCCACUAAACAUUCUGAUGUUGGCUAGAUGGCCUAGUUAAUCUACACAUUUCAUUUUAUCACCUUCUCCAGAUGUUUUUUUGUGUAUGUCAGCUGAUACACUCUGGGGAGAAUGCCUUAAUAUAUGGGAAUAAUUAACUCAUGGCCAAGAAGGAAAUAACCAAGGGGACUUUUACUCUGGACCUAAUUCAAACCAAAGAGACAGAGCCUGAGAGAAAGCAGCUCUGUCAUCCUUGAGUUAGUAACAUCCAGGAAGGGAAGGCUAGGGUGGGGGAGUGAGUAAAACAGAUGGCAUUUAGGGAAGAACCAACAGGACUUUAAGAGGCAUGGCAGAGGGGCUUUGAUCCUGGCUAAACCAUCAGGGAAGGCAAUUGGAGCUGGGUGAACAGAUGGGGUCUUAUUACUGAAGAGAAAACGGUAAGGAGGCAGGGGGAAAUGGGACGUGUGCUAAAGCAGAGUGCCUCAUUCAGUGGAUGCAGUGAGAGCAGAGGCUGUUGGAAAAGUGGAUCAGGGAGGACCAUGCCACCAGGUGGGCAUCAGCAGAGUAUCACCCGAGUAUUGCAGAGGGAUACCAAAUAAGUCCACCUGAAGCCAGAGCUGAAACCCUGUGGAGGUCCGUUUACCCCUUCAGAAGUAGUGUACCACCAUCCAUCUACCACUGGAAUCCAAUUUCAGUUUUGGCAAAUUGUUAUAAAUAGGAAAAAGUCAGGGUUCCACAAUUCUGGCAGCACCCAGAGACUAUAACAGCAUCUGCACAGCCAAGUAGAGUUAGGAAACCUGGAUCCUAAUCCUGACUUUGCCUCUGAUUAGAUGUGUGAUCCUGGGCUGGAGCUGUUUUUUCAGUUGUAAAAUGCUGUUUAUUGGUGUUAGGUAGCAGCUAAUAAGGCUGGAGGUGGGGCUGGGUGUAGUGGCUCACACAUGUAAUCUCAGCAGUUUGACAGGCCAAGGCAGGAGGAUUGCUGGAGGCCAGGGAUUUGAGACCAGCUUGGGCUACAUAGUGAGACUCUGCCUGUACUAAAAAUUAAAAAAAAAAAAAAUAACUCAGUGCAGUGGCGCAUGCCUGUAGUCCCAGCUACUCAGGAGGUUGGGGUGGGAGGGUUGCUUGAGCCCAGGAGUUUGAGGCUGCAGUGAACUAUGAUCAAUCACACCACUGCAUUCUAGUAGCCUGAGUGACAGAGCAAGACCUGUCUCUAAAAAAAAAGAAAUUUUUUUUAAGGGUGGAGGUAGGGAAAUUCAAAGCUACUUACUAGCUGUGUGACCUUGCCUAAACUACCUCCUUGGAUUUGCAGUCUGUUUAUUUGAAAAUGUCAUAAGGGAUAAAUGAGAUUCCUUAUGUAAAGUACUUUAUAAAUAUUAAGCACUUACCAAAUGUUAGUCUGUUUUCACAUUAUUCUUCUUGGAUUACCAGAAAUUGGUUUGACCAUGAAUAAACAGGAGAUAAUUUCUUGGGUAAUCUGAGUUUGAAUCCCCUUUCUCUCUCUUACUAAUUGUAUGACUUUGAUUAGGUUAUUUAAUAUUUAAUUGUUCUGGGUCUCAGUUUUCUCAUUUGUGAAAUUAAAAUGUGUUCUUCAGAAUUGUGAGGGUUAAAUGUGAUAAAAGGCCUGACUCAUAUGAGAAAAUGCUCAAUAUAUUUGUUUUGUC